RNAcentral lists this long non-coding RNA (5919 nucleotides) under Trifolium pratense (red clover). RNAcentral's name for it is "long non-coding RNA (TPRA_LNC002801)". The record is from RNAcentral. Lineage: Eukaryota; Viridiplantae; Streptophyta; Magnoliopsida; Fabales; Fabaceae.
UUAUCUUCUAUCUUAUUGUUCAACCUCACCCCUUCAAGUUCUAUGUAGCGAAAGCCGAACUAAACCAAUUUGAUUACGUCAACAAUACGCUACACUACAACAUGGUGCUCAACUUCACAGCCCACAAUCCAAAUAAAAAACUUGGUAUCUACUACGAUAAAGUUGAAGCACAAGCAUCAUAUGAAGGGUCGAGGUUUGCUAAUGUAGAUGUGAUCACACACAUGAAGUCAUUUCGCCAAAACAAGAAAAGUAGUAACCCCAUGAGUGGCGUUUUCUCAGGACAGAAAUUGUUGAUGCUUGACAAUGAUCAAAUCUCUAAAUUUAACAAAGAUAAGAAUGUCGGAAUAUAUGAUAUCUAUGUGAAACUCUACUUCAGGAUUAGGUUCAAACUCGGAGACUCGAUAACUCGUACGUAUAAACCUAAGGUCAAAUGUGACCUCACUGUUCCUUUGAGAACCGGCUAUGAAACUAACUUUACCUUCAUUCGACUCAUACCCACCAAAUGCAGUGUUGAGUUCUAGGUUUUAGAUUAAAAUUUCUUGAAAUUGUAUUUGAAAUUCAAUUUUCUUUACAUUUUUUUCUUCCUGUCGGUGAUUUUAUUCAUUCUUUGUUGUUAUUUUAUUCAUUCUUUGUAUGAUACGAUCGCACACAUACCGUUCAUGCAAUGUAUUCUAGUGCUUGAGAAUGAUCUAUUUAAUUGAUCUUAAUAAUUUAAUUUAUUUGUUUCGAAUUAGAUAAUUCUCUUUGAUUUUAUUUCAUUGUUAAAUUUCUAUAGAGUGCGUUUCCAUGAGAUAAUUAGAAAAAUUUCAUUGUUAAAUUAAGUUUUAAUUUUUUUGUCAAGUUGCUUAAUGCUUAGAAUUCCACCUUUAAAGUGUAUAAAUGGAGUGUUUAAAAUUCAAACUUCGGCUCAUACAUAUAAAAUGUGACAUGAUAUCUUUACCAACUCAGUUAAACUCACGAGAAUUUCAAUCUUAAAUUUCUAUUAAGUGCGUUUCCAUGAGAUAAUUAGAAAAGUUUGGGGAAAUAUUAAAAUUUUAGCAAUUCAAAUGCUUUGAUUGAAUUCUCUAAUUUUUUGUAUUUUUAUGAUAGAGUAAUUAAAAUUCGUCAUUUGUAAACAUUAUUGGGUAAUUUUUUAAGGGGGGCUUGAGGAAGUUUAAAACAUGUAUUAGAAGAUGUGCAUCUAAGUAAUGUAGGAGUUAGUUUCUUGUGGUUGAAUUAAUAUGUCUACUAGCUAGAUGAAAUCCGACAUAUAUGAUUUUCAAAAUUGCUUUUACGUAUCCAAUCCAAUUCAACCUAUCUAUACGUGCAGGCCCAUUGGGCCGGGCCGGGGUAGUCUAUUGACAGGUCUACAUGUGAUAACAAAGAUGGAAUGUCAAGCAUAUAAUUGUGGCAACAAGUGGAAGCUUUCAAUUAAAAACAGUACCCUACUCAAGAGGGAAUUUAUUUCGUACACAUGUUUCUAUCUUCAAUCAGCUUCCUGGUUGUUUCUGAUCAGCUUGGAACUAAACUCAGUCCACAAUCUGCAUCAAACUUUGCACAAGUCAAAACUAUCUGCCAUAUUCAUAUAACUUCCUUAACCAAUAUGAAAUUGAAUCAUAAUUAUAGCAACUACUACUAUUCAACACGCUCACAUACUUACAACCGUGUUAUCCCCACAAAAUCUUCAAUCCCUUUUUUUUUCUAUAUAUACACAUUAUUACACUUUAUUCCUUUAUCUCACAUUCACUCUUUCAAUUCAAUUUGCAUUUCAUUAAUUUCACUACAUCACCUAGUCACAUUAAAACCUCAAUUUCUGUGUUCAUUUGCUCAUAACAUGGCUGAUAACAAGCAACCACAAUUAAACGGUGCCUACUAUGGCCCCGCGAUUCCACCACCAGCACAACCCCGCUAUAGCCAUCACCGAAGUAGAAGCUGUUAUUCAUGUCUCUUCGGUUUCCUUUGGAAGCUCGUUGUCGCACUCAUCGUUCUUGCUGGCCUUGCAGUCCUUAUCUUCUAUCUCGUUGUCCAACCACGCUCCUUCAAAUUCUAUGUCACGGAAGCCAAUUUAACUAAAUUUGACUAUACAAACAACACAUUACACUACGAUAUGGUGCUCAACUUCAGUGCCCGCAACCCAAACAAAAAGCUUAGUAUCUACUACGACAAAGUGGAGGCUCGGGCAUUCUACGAAGGGGAAAGGUUUGCAAAUGUCGAUGUGAUCACACAUAUGAACUCGUUUCGCCAAUAUAAGAAAAGCAGUGAUCCCAUGAGCGGUGUUUUCUCAGGACAACAGUUGUUAAUGCUAGACAAUGGUCAAGUCUCUGAGUUCAACGAAGAUAAGAAUGUUGGAGUUUAUGAUAUNNNNNNNNNNNNNNNNNNNNNNNNNNNNNNNNNNNNNAGGUGAAAUGUCACCUCAAAGUUCCAUUGACUUCGAACAAUACCACUGCAACCUUCACUCGACUUGUGCGGCCUACCAAGUGUGAUGUUGAUUUCUACUAACUACGCAUCUAUACGUUUUCUUGGCACAAUAGUAUUAAUCGGGAUUUGGUUUCUUUAUGCUUUUGUUUUUGUUUCUCUCUUCUGUACAUCAUAUUUGUUGCCAUUUUAUUCAUUCUUUGAGCACAUAAAGAUCAUACCUUUCUAUAUAUGCAAUAAACAGAUACUAGUAUUUUUUUUUUUUUUUCAAUUNNNNNNNNNNNNNNNNNNNNNNNNNNNNNNNNNNNNNNNNNNNNNNNNNNNNAGUUAUCUAGAUCUGCCUGUUAUUAAUUUAAUUUAAACCAUUAUUUUAGUCGGAACAUCCAUCUCCCAUGUUUUGCCAAAGUAGAAUAACAAGGUCACAUAAAUCCCAAUUGAACAUCUCCCAUGUUUGAUCUAUGAUAUAAAAUUUUGCAUUAACACUACAUGAAGAAACGUGUGCAUUAGUUUAAAAUUAUAUAAUCGAGAUCCAUCUUGUCAUUCACUUAUAUAAUUGCAAAAAAUUUAUAACUCAUUGGAUAAAUAAAUUGUUUCAGAAAUUAACACUAUUAAAGUAUGAGGUUCUUACAAUAUGGAGGGGUGUAACCACUUGAUGGCAGAACUUUUCCAAAAUCAGAUUAAAUUGAUGGUAAAAGCCAAAAAGAAAGUAUGAAGUUCUUAAACAACAAACCUUUAAUUAGGACAAAUGCAUUUAAUGGUUUUAAGUUUAACGUUUGAAAUAAAUAUAGUAAUUUAAGUUUUGUAUCACUUUGAUUUUUUAAUUUCGUAAUAAAUUAGAUUGUUACUCUUUUAAUGACUCUUUGCUAAAAAAAAUUAUACGCUGUGUUUUGGCCCUCCAGAUUAUAUCUUCGUUUUCUUCAUCCUUAGUUUGGCAAAUUUGACCAUUAGUUGGAUUGGAUGGAUCAUUGGUUGAUAACAUUGUUGAUGCACUUCUUGUUUAUAAAAGCCAUGAGGUGGGAUGCAGGAUCAUUAGUCCUGUCAUCAUUCAUCAAUACAUUUUUGUAACGACAAUGUAGGAUGUCAUGUCACUUAGUUAACGAUAACAUAGAGAGUAAUAAUAUAAUUCGUCCGUCCCAAAAUAAAUAAGUUAUUUUUUACUUUGUCUAUUAUUCAUAUGAUCUUUUUUUACUGUAUUUUUCUACUAAUAUGUAUAUGCAAAUAUUAGCACAUGAGAUGUUUGAUUUGUCUUGAUAAGUAUUUUUAAAAUAUAUAAUUUUUAUAAUUUAUAAUAGUAGAUAAUUUAAUAUAUUAGUGAUUAAAGUUGUGCAUUAACAAACGUGAAGGUGCUCAACAAGGUCAUUUAUUUUGGGACGUAGGAAGUAAUUUGUUACAAAUUUAAAGGAGGGAUUUGAUAGUUAAAAAGCUUAAAAGAUUAAUGUUAAACUUAAAAAAAAAAAAACUCCAAAUACAUUUGGCCAAAUAAUUAAUAACUUUCAAAUAUGUUGACAUUAUUUGUCAAAAGAAAAAAUCAUUGAGAAUAAUUAUUAUAAUAAGAUUUUAAUAGAGAUUAGAAACAUUUUCUUAAAGUGACACAUCAUCAAAAUGCUUGCCUAUGAGCAACUCAACCUUCCUUUUACUAGUAAAAGAUAACUUUCUUCUUUUUUUUCUUAAUCAUUCUGUUCUUUUGAAAAAUGGACUUUGAUAAUUUCAAAUUAGAUCGAGAGUUAAAAAAGUUUUGCCAAUUAUUGUUUUAGGUCAAAUUUGAACUCAAAUUUCUGAAACAAUUAAUCUUUAAAAUUAAAUUAUUAAACAUUUGAGUUCAAUUAUGCUCUGUUUGGUAAAAAUAAGUUAUAAGCUAACUGGUAGCUAAAAAACUAGCUUAUAGCAGAUGGCUUAUAGGUGAAAAGCUAUAGUAGAAUGAAAUUAAAGUGUUUAGCAAAUUUAACUGUUAUAAGUGCAAAAUGAUAUAAAAGUACAAGGUUAGUGGGUAGUUAUUAUAUUUUAAAAAAAUAAAGAAAUAAUAAAUGAAAAUAAUAAGGGUAAAAAUGAAAUAAAAUGUAAAAAGAUAUAAGCUAUAAGUUCAUAACGCUACUUGAAAUAGUAUCUAAAAAAAUAUUAUAAGCUAAUUAAAUAAGCUUGUUAUCAAACAUGUCCUUUUUUAACAAACAAGCUUAUAAGUUAGUCCAAUAAACUAUAAACUAACUUAUUGAAGUUACUUACCAAACACCUGUUAUAUUUAAUUAAUUUAACAUCUGGCUAUUAAUUUAUCUCUAACUAUAGCUUUUCUAAUUUCAUAGAUUAAUAAAAAUAUUUUAUUCAAAACAAAUCACUUAUUCCAUUUUCAAUACAAUAUUAAAAUUUAAUUUGUCCAAUUAUGCCCUUUAAUUAUGUCCACAUGAUGACAAGAUGAAGGACACGUUUCUUUCGGUUUUUAAAAAAUAGAUUUUUUUUUUGUAUUUUUUAAAAUAAAUUUUAUAAAAUUGUUUUUCAAAAAUAUUACAAGUAGUUUUAUAUUCGUUUUUUCUAAAUUUAAAUACUAAUUUUGACAUCAUAUAACAUAAACAUAUAUUAUUAAAGAUCAAAACAUAAUUAAAAUAUUGCAAUUUUUUCAAAAGGUUGUAUUUCAAAGAAUGUCAAAGUCUUGGAAAACUUCUGUUUGUUUCUUUCCUGGAAGUUUCGGGCCAGAUGGGAAGGAAACUCAGUCUAUAAUGCAAACUUGCCAUAUUCAUAUAGCUUCCUUAACCAAGUUGAAUCACAUCAUAUUUUUUGUUGAACAAUCAUAUUUAUUCAACACGCUCACGUGUUUUUACAACCGCGUUAAUUUAUCCCAUUAAAUCUCCAAUACCUAAUUUCCUUUCUAUAUAAACGCACCAUCUUAAUUUGUUCCUAUAUCCUCACAUUAAUUUAGUCUUCCAAUUCGAUUCCAUUUCAUUUCACUACAACUAACUACAGUCACAUUAAAACCUCAAAUAUUAAUAUUGUGUUCAUUUGCUCAUAACAUGGCCGAUAACAAACAACCACAAUUGAACGGUGCCUANNNNNNNNNNNNNNNNNNNNNNNNNNNNNNNNNNNNNNNNNNNNNNNNNNNNNNNNNNNNNGAAGUAGAAGCUGUUGUUCAUGUCUCUUCGGUUUCCUUUGGAAGCUCCUAGUCGCACUCAUCGUUCUAGCUGGCCUCGCAGUUCUUAUUUUCUAUCUCGUUGUUCAACCACGCUCCUUCAAAUUCUAUGUCACGGAAGCUAAUCUAACUAAAUUCGAAUACACAAACAACACAUUACACUACGAUAUGGUGCUCAACUUCACUGCCCGGAAUCCAAACAAAAAGCUUAGUAUCUACUACGACAAAGUGGAGGCUCGGGCAUUCUACGAAGGGGAAAGGUUUGCAAAUGUCGAUGUGAUCACACAUAUGAACUCGUUUCGCCAAUACAAGAAAAGCAGCGAUCCCAUGAGCGGUNNNNNNNNNNNNNNNNNNNNNNNNNNNNNNNNNNNNNNNNNNNNNNNNNNNNNNNNNNNNNNGUUGGAGUUUAU